RNAcentral lists this non-coding RNA (100 nucleotides) under Chloropicon mariensis. Lineage: Eukaryota; Viridiplantae; Chlorophyta; Chloropicophyceae; Chloropicales; Chloropicaceae. The record is from RNAcentral.
AGCCAUCCAGCGAUCAUGAAACAUAAACAAAACAAAACAAAAAUUGGAAAGGAAAGAAGAAGGGAAAAAAGACAGAGGACACUUUCUUUUACCUUUUUGU